This 381-nucleotide ribosomal RNA is filed under the name uncultured marine Chaetocerotaceae. RNAcentral's name for it is "SSU rRNA". It matches the Rfam family "Eukaryotic small subunit ribosomal RNA", at positions 587 to 972 of the family's 1831-position model. Lineage: Eukaryota; Bacillariophyta; Thalassiosirophyceae; Chaetocerotales; Chaetocerotaceae. The record is from RNAcentral.
AGCUCCAAUAGCGUAUAUUAAAGUUGCUGCAGUUAAAAAGCUCGUAGUUGCAUUUCCGAGGCAAGGGAUUAGUCCGACCUUUGGUGGGUAUUUAAUCCUCUUGCCUCGUCCUUGAGUGGUGCUUCUUGGUAUUAAGUUAUCGAGGAGAUAGCCGCUCAUCGUUUACUGUGAGAAAAUUAGAGUGUUCAAAGCAGGCUUAUGCCGUUGAAUAUAUUAGCAUGGAAUAAUAAGAUAGGACCUCGGUACUAUUGUGUUGGUUUGAGAACCAAGGUAAUGAUGAAUAGGGACAGUUGGGGGUAUUCGUAUUCAGUGGUCAGAGGUGAAAUUCUUAGAUUUACGGAAGACGAACUACUGCGAAAGCAUUUACCAAGGAUGUUUUCA